RNAcentral lists this ribosomal RNA (772 nucleotides) under uncultured bacterium. RNAcentral's name for it is "bacterial SSU rRNA". It matches the Rfam family "Bacterial small subunit ribosomal RNA", at positions 1 to 765 of the family's 1533-position model. The record is from RNAcentral.
CCCUUAGAGUUUGAUCAUGGCUCAGAUUGAACGCUGGCGGAAUGCUUUACACAUGCAAGUCGAACGGUAACAGCAGAGCUUGCUCUGGCUGACGAGUGGCGGACGGGUGAGUAAUAUAUCGGAACGUGUCCAAUAAUGGGGGGUAACUAGCCGAAAGGUUGGCUAAUACCGCAUACGCCCUGAGGGGGAAAGCUGGGGAUUCUUCGGAACCUGGCGUUAAUGGAGCGGCCGAUACCUGAUUAGCUAGUUGGUGGGGUAAAAGCCUACCAAGGCAACGAUCAGUAGCUGGUCUGAGAGGACGACCAGCCACACUGGGACUGAGACACGGCCCAGACUCCUACGGGAGGCAGCAGUGGGGAAUUUUGGACAAUGGGGGCAACCCUGAUCCAGCCAUUCCGCGUGAGUGAAAAAGGCCUUCGGGUUGUAAAGCUCUUUCGCAAGGGAAGAAACGAUAUGGGUUAAUAGCCUAUGUUAAUGACGGUACCUUGACAAGAAGCACCGGCUAACUACGUGCCAGCAGCCGCGGUAAUACGUAGGGUGCAAGCGUUAAUCGGAAUUACUGGGCGUAAAGCGUGCGCAGGCUGUUUUGUAAGUCAGAUGUGAAAUCCCCGAGCUCAACUUGGGAACUGCGUUUGAAACUACAAGACUAGAAUAGGUCAGAGGGGGGUAGAAUUCCACGUGUAGCAGUGAAAUGCGUAGAGAUGUGGAGGAAUACCAAUGGCGAAGGCAGCCCCCCUGGGAUCAUAUUGACGCUCAUGCACGAAAGCGUGGG